CACCUUCCUUAUGGAGCCUUGCUGCUGUGCAGCUCUGCUCUGUUAUGCCGGUAGUGAUGCGAUGCUGUGGGGAUGCAGACCUUGCAUGCUGCCAAGUUUCUCUCAUACAGGUACCACCCGAUCGGAGAGUACUGGCCUGGCCAUUGAGUCGUUACAGAUGAGUUUGGGGAUUCUGCACCCCAACACAGAUACCUCCCCACAAGCGGAGCUGUCGAGCCUUGGGUUCCAGCAUGGAUCGUGUUGUUGUGGAUGGUUGUGCUACUCGCUUACCUUCUGGAGCUUUGCUGCUUUGUGGCUCAGCUCUGUGCUGUGGGCGUGACGUGCCAAUGUGGGGAAGCAGACCCCGCAUGCUGGCUAAGUUCUCUCUUUCAGAGAGGGCAGUGGGACUCUUGCAAUGAUUAUAACAACCUAUCAUCAUGUCAUUAUCAAGAGCGGACAAGCUAGUAGGGAGGACAAGAUUCGCAUAUGAUUGGACAGGCCACUGGGGAGGUCUCAAGACUCACGAAUAACCUGAAAUGGUAGCUCCCUUGGGAGUGAGCUUUAAAUAAGGCUGAGGAGGAGAGUCAGGUUACUGGGUGACACAGGUGACUGCAACCUCCUUGUGGUCCCUCUGGAUAGCCGCCCUCAAGGAUGGUGUACCAACUGUGGUCCUGUGUCAUUGGUAUCAUGUCCGUCUCGCCCUAUCAGCCCACGACGUUGGUGGGCUGGUAGUAGUUGCAAAUGUGUCCAGUUAGUGAUGCUGGCUAGCUGGUAGUACCCUAAAGCAAACCCUGAAGUAAUGCAAGGCCUUAGUGCCUUUGCAGCUGCCCCUGCCACAUGGCAGGUGGAUUGCUAGCCUCAUCAGCUAGAGUACACUGGCUGGGCUGAUGAGGAGUUCUCUGCCUGGGGAACCCCACAGCCUACAGCCUAUGCAGGUAAAUUGCAGUCUUUGUCCCUGCUUUGCCCUCUAUGGUGGUGGCAGGGGGCUGGGGUUCCGGGGCUGGGGGCCGGGCCAGCGUCCUGCCUCGGCCGGCGCCUAGCAGCUGACUUAGAACUGGUGUGGACCAGGGAAAUCCGACUUUUUAAUUAAAACAAAACAUCACGAAGACCCUCGACGGGUGUUGAUGCGAUGUGAUUUCUGCCUAGUGCUCUGAAUGUCAAAGUAAAGAAAUUCAAUUAACCCGGGUAAACGGCAGGAGCAGGAGAGAGGGUGAUGUGAUCUGGAUUGGACCGCUGCUCCCCCCUAUAAGCCCACAGGAAUGACUUGGAGAGAGUGGCUCCUACGAGUUUGAUUGUCAUUCGUGUCACCCACAUUCAGGAUAGUGAUGUAGCCUUCCAAUGCAUUGGCAAUGGCGGCAAUGGGGUGUGCGUCCAUUGGUUUACCGAUCGGUUUAUUGCCCCAGCCCAUUGGCCCUGUUUUUUCUGAGCUCUGCUCCCAAGGGCCGGGUGUUUGUCAUCUUGAUGGGCAUUAACCUUUGGCCAAGUGGCUCUGUGAAGGACACGUGUGAUCCCACCCCUGCAUUUGAGGAUUAGACCCUGAUCUUGUUCAUUUCAGAUCAUGACUGUUGUCACAAGGAAUGUAUACCCCCUACUGAGCGGACAAGGUACAGAAGGGCACCAGUGGCACUACCCAGGUCUCAGGUUGGUCCCCAGAGAGACGGACAUGGUGGUGAUGGUGAGGUGGGCAGACCCCCCACUCCCCUUCUUCCACCCGCCAGUCUCUAUCGAUGAACCAGAGAGAUGGACACGGUGCUGAGGGUGGAGUGGGCAGGCAGCUGCUCCCCCUCUUACACCCGCCAUCUUUAGGGCAUGGGGCAGACAAGGUACAGAUGGGGAACACAACUAGGACUAGACCACUGGGUUUAAUCCCCAGAUCCUCGAAGGGCGAUACACUUCCCACCGAGUGGAAAAGGUACAGGAAAUUCCUUGCGGUUGGACAGGCCACCGGUGGGCUACAUUCCCACGAAUAACUCACAAUGUUAACUCCUUCAGGAGUGAGUCUUACAUAGCCAAAUGCCUCAUCAUCUAAUGAGUGAUGCGCAUGAAUGGAUGAAUGAGAUUACCACUGUCCCUACCUACUAUCUAGUGAAACCACAGCCAAGGGAAUGGGCUUGGCAGAAUCAGCGGGGAAAGAAGAGCCUGUUGAGCUUGACUCUAGUCUGGCACUGUGAAGAGACAAGAGAGUUGUAGAAUAAGUGGGAGGCCCGCCCAGGCCACCGGUGAAAUACGACUACUCUUAUUGUUUUUUCACUUACCCGGUGAGGCGGGAGAGGAGGCAAGCCCUGAGGGGCUCUCGCUUCUGGCUCCAAGCGCCCAGCACCUGCUGGGCGUAACCCUCUCCAGGGACAGUGUCAGAUGGGGAGUUUGACUGGGGUGGUACACCUGUCAAACCGUAAUGCAGGUGUCCUAAGGUAAGCUCAGGGAGGGCAGAAACCUCCUGUGGAGCAGAAGGACAAAAGCACGCUUGAUCUUCAUUUUCAGUAUGAAUACAGACCUUUGAAAGCGGGGCCUCACGAUCCUUCUGACUUUCGGGGUUUUAAGCAGGAGGUGUCAGAAAAGUUACCACAGGGAUAACUGGCUUGUGGCGGUCAAGCAUUCAUAGUGAUGUCACUUUUUGAUCCUUCGAUGUCGGCUCUUCCUAUCAUUGUGAAGCAGAAUUCACCAAGCGUUGGUUUGUUCACCCACAAAUAGGGAACAUGAGUUGGGCUUAGACCAUCGUGAGAUAGGUUAGUUCUACCCUACUGAUGAUGUGUUGUUGCAAUAGUAAUCCUGCUCAGUACUAGAAGAACCGUAGGUUCAGACAUUUUGUGUAUGUGCUUGGCUGAGGAGCCAAUGGGGUGAAGCUACCAUCUGUGGGAUUAUGACUGAACGCCUCUAAAUCAGAAUCCCCCCUAAACGUAAUGAUACCGCAGUGCUGUGGAGCCUUGGUUGGACUUGGAUAGCCGGGCCCGCCCUCCCAACCAAGGGGGGUGGGUGGCCCGGUGCAUAGAGCCGUCCAUCUCGCGAGCGGAGCGUGGCCGGAAGGGGGCCACCUCUCGCCCGUAGCGCAGUGCACAUUUGUGGAGCACCCAGCGCUAAAUCAUUAGUAGACGACCUGAUUCUGGGUCAGUGUUUCGUAUGUAGCAGAGCAGCUCCCUCGCUGUGAUCUAUUGAAAGUCAGCCCU
This 3143-nucleotide ribosomal RNA is filed under the name Sphenodon punctatus (tuatara). RNAcentral's name for it is "eukaryotic LSU rRNA". The stretch from base 901 to 3143 matches the Rfam family "Eukaryotic large subunit ribosomal RNA", at positions 1891 to 3385 of the family's 3401-position model. Lineage: Eukaryota; Metazoa; Chordata; Lepidosauria; Sphenodontia; Sphenodontidae. The record is from RNAcentral.